GGGGUAUAUGCGUAAAUGAUGCAUGGAAAUUCUGUGAUUUAUGAAGGUUUUAUUUACCAUGAAUUAAUUUAAAAAAGAAAUUUAAUAAUAAUAAAAAGGGAAAAUUAACACAGCCCUCCAAUCAAAAAUCAACAUCAACAUCAUUAAUUAUUUUGUUAUUAAAGUGGAAAACAAAUGAACAAAUAAAGCAAGAGCAACAAUUUGCAGUGUCGCGGGUAAUUAUAUGUGGGUGAGAGGGAGUAUGGAAAUGAGAGAAACAAAUUAGAUAAGUAAGGAAGGUGGAUUAGAGUUAGGCACGUGUUUAUGAUUUUUUUCAAUUGAGGCUACAGUAGGGAUGAUAGAGAAAAGGUUGGAGUGAGAGAGAUGAAAGAGAAAGGGUUGAGAGGAAUGAGAGAGGUGAAUAAGGGUUUGGGGGUUUCUUGUCUUUUUAUUUUUGAGAAAGAAAAUUAUACAAAUACCCUUGACCUUAAACUUAGAAUCCAUAACAUAUGAGGGUAUUUUUGUCUAUUAAAACCGGG
Molecule: long non-coding RNA, 518 nt
Filed under: Vigna radiata
Lineage: Eukaryota; Viridiplantae; Streptophyta; Magnoliopsida; Fabales; Fabaceae
Description: long non-coding RNA (VRAD_LNC015744)
Source: RNAcentral